This 135-nucleotide small RNA is filed under the name Enterobacteriaceae bacterium 4M9. RNAcentral's name for it is "RtT sRNA". It matches the Rfam family "RtT RNA". Rfam says of the family: This family represents a bacterial cis-regulatory element known as RtT RNA. The exact function of RtT is unknown although it is thought that it may be involved in changing the cellular response in relation to amino acid starvation. Lineage: Bacteria; Pseudomonadati; Pseudomonadota; Gammaproteobacteria; Enterobacterales; Enterobacteriaceae. The record is from RNAcentral.
AUAUUACACGGACAGGAAGGGUGAGAAGCCUUGACCAGGGUUCGACUACAAGCGCAGCUUGUUGGACAGACGCCGAGCCCGCGAGGCGGCUGCCCGAAGGGCGAGCGUAGCGAGUCAAUCCCUUCCUCACCGCCA